RNAcentral lists this ribosomal RNA (1191 nucleotides) under Haliotis tuberculata (green ormer). RNAcentral describes it as "SSU rRNA". It matches the Rfam family "Eukaryotic small subunit ribosomal RNA", at positions 4 to 1170 of the family's 1831-position model. Lineage: Eukaryota; Metazoa; Mollusca; Gastropoda; Lepetellida; Haliotidae. The record is from RNAcentral.
CUGGUUGAUCCUGCCAGUAAUCAUAUGCUUGUCUCAAAGAUUAAGCCAUGCAUGUCUACGUACACACUCUAGCACGGUGAAACUGCGAAUGGCUCAUUAGAUCAGUUAUGGUUCCUUAGACGAUACGAUCCUACUUGGAUAACUGUGGUAAUUCUAGAGCUAAUACAUGCACAGAAGCUCCGACCCUCUCGCGAGGGAGGGUGAGAGCGCGUUUAUCAGUCCAACAGACCAGUCGGGCCGCAAGGUCCGUCCUUUUUGGUGACUCUGGAUAACCCUUGCCGAUCGCACGGCCACGAGCCGGCGACGCGUCUAUCAAGUGUCUGCCCUAUCACACUUUCGAUGGUAAGAGAUGUGCCUACCAUGGUGACAACGGGUAACGGGGAAUCAGGGUUCGAUUACGGAGAGGGAGCCUGAGAAACGGCUACCACAUCCAAGGAAGGCAGCAGGCGCGCAAAUUACCCAAUCUCGACACGAGGAGGUAGUGACGAAAAAUAACAAUACGGGACUCUUUCGAGGCCCCGUAAUUGGAAUGAGUGCACUCUAAACGUGUGCACGAGGAUCUAUUGGAGGGCAAGUCUGGUGCCAGCAGCCGCGGUAAUUCCAGCUCCAAUAGCGUAUAUUAAAGUUGUUGUGGUUAAAAAGCUCGUAGUUGGAUCUCAGGGUCGUUCGCGUCGGUCCCUAUGCUUCAAUGGCUCGGGUACUGCGCGGUGUCGUCCCCCUUGCCAGACCUCUCAAAAAGGUUGCUCUUGACUGAGUGGCCUGCUCGAGUGGCUGGAGAGUUUACUUUGAAAAAAUUAGAGUGUUCAAAGCAGGCACUSCCGCCUGUAUAAUGGUGCAUGGAAUAAUGGAAUAGGACCCCGGAUCCUAUUUUGCUGGUUUUUGGAGCUCAGGGGUAAUGAUUAAGAGGAACAGGGCGGGGGCAUCCGUAUUACGGCGUUAGAGGUGAAAUUCUUGGAUCGUCGUAAGAGCCCUACAGCGAAAGCAUUUGCCAAGUAUGUUUUCAUUAAUCAAGAACGAAAGUCAGAGGUUCGAAGACGAUCAGAUACCGUCGUAGUUCUGACCGUAAACUAUGCCAACUGGCAGCCCGUCGGCGUUGCUCUAUUCGACUCGGCGGGAGGCCUACCGAAAACGAAAGUCUUCGGGUUCCAGGGGAAGUAUGGUUGCAAAGCUGAAACUUAAAGGAAUUGACGG